Molecule: small nuclear RNA, 188 nt
Organism: Sorex fumeus (smoky shrew)
Lineage: Eukaryota; Metazoa; Chordata; Mammalia; Eulipotyphla; Soricidae
Product: U2 spliceosomal RNA
Exons: 1
Source: RefSeq, a predicted model, not a curated record
AUCGCCUGUUGGCCUUUUGUCUAAGAUCAAGUGUGGCAUCUGUUAUCAGUUUAAUACCUGAUACGUCCUCUAUCUGAGGACAAGAUAUUAAAUGGACUUUUGGAGCUAGGAGUUGGAAUAGGAGCUUUCUCCAUUCACUCCACACAUUAACCUUACAUUGCAGUACCUCCAGGAAUGAUGCACGGAAA